UAGAUCUGAAGGCUUCAGUGGAUCCCAGUUCAAUGCUUUGGGAGCAAGCCAUUCAUUGAUGAUGCUGUGUAGCACCUGUCAUGGCAUCUGGAGCCACGUUAUGUGGCUAUUCAUGAUGCUGAUGGCCAGUCUCUCCAUUUGAGUAUGUAUUUUUUACUUUGUAGUUAGUUUCAAAUCAUAAUUAGUUGGUGGGAUGCAUUUAUUUAAUUUUAAUGACAUGUAAUAUGUUUGCAUCCAUUCUUGAGGAAGCAAAGUGUUUUGUUUGGCGCAGGCCUGCAGGGCAGGGCAGUCCAGCAUGCCUCUGUUCACACCAGGCAGAUUCCCACUUCUCUGUAAGUGAGAUUCAGAGGGCAUUCCCACCAAGGGCAGCUGGGACAAUUCUGUUGUUUAACCGGUUUUAGGGGCUAAGUAAAAUAUGGGAAUCUGGGGAUAAUUUUAGUCUUAUUUACGUUUUUAAUUGGUAAUACAUUCAUGGGAUGCAAAAUUCAAAAUAUAUAAAAAGGGUAAACAGUGAAGACCUGUUCUAGAUACUUGUUACUAUUUACGGGUAGCAAACCACCUCAAAAUAGUGACUUGGAAGAGUAAUGGUGUCCUUAUUUAGUAAUGAAGCAGGGGGUGGGUGGUGAAUAAUGGGCUCUGGUGAUCCAUUCUUACUCGGGGUCUCUUGCAGUUGCUAUCAGUGGCUGUGGCUGCAGCCAUCAAAGCUUUCUUCAUUCUUGUCUGCUGCGGAAGCUGGAAAGACUCAAAAACAGCUGGGGUCAGGAGAAGCUGCACUCCCUGGGUGCCUCUUCUCUCUGCCCCUCACUCUGUGGCCUCCUGGUGGCCUCCUGGUCACUGGGCCUCUUACGUGGCAGCUGAUGGCUACUGCAGUGAUUGUCCCUAGGAGAACUUGCAGACACUGAAAAUCCUUUCCAAUGCAGCUUUGGACCUGGUACAGUAUGACUCCUUCUGCAUUUAAUUCAUUGGGACAGUGGCAAAGGCCCACCAGGGCAAGGAAAAGGCCACAGACUCUGAGAGGAGGAGGGGCAAAGAAUUUGCAGCUGUGCUUGAAAACCAUCAUGUUCUCCUACAUUUCCCUUUUGCCAGACACCCAGUUCACUUUUCCCAAUGUAACUGAUGUCACCAGUCUCCUGUGAAGCAUUUAAGAGAUGCUGUAUGUACAACAUAAUCAUAUUCUCACUUAGCAUGGUGUAUUUAUUUGUUCUGUGCUUUGAUUUUUUUCCUUAACAGUUAUUUCAUGGUUAUUUCACUGAUUAUUCAGGUCAGUCCACAAACUGGAUCUUGAUUAUUUAAAUGCCUUUGUAGUAUCACAUUAUAUAGAUGUACUAUAAUGUUUAACCACUUAUCUGUUAGUGGUUAAUUUAGGUGAUUUCAACAAUUAUCAUUGUUAAAACUAAUUAUCAUUGGUAAAAUUUUAACAAUUAUCAUUGUUAAAAAACAAUGUGUUGUUACACAUGUGAAGAUUUUAUUUUCUUAUUUUUAAAGAUCACUACUUGUAUUUUUUCAAUUAUUGAAAAGGAUUUAAGGAGGAUUCUGAUAUAGAAUAAACGUUUGAGGCAAGUAAAAAGGUGAGAUACUCCACAUUUUUUAUAAACAUAAGGAUUUCUGAAUAAUUCAAAAAUGCCCCCUUUUCUGAAUCCUAUCAAUGAGUGAGACAUGAGCAUUUACACCCUCUUUGAGAUUAUUAGGCUGGUAGAAACACUCUGAGAUGUUAUAAGUAGAUGUCUAUUUCCACAAUGACAUCUACUCUCUAUGAGGAAAAAUUCUUAAUUUAAAAAAGAUUUCCUCAUGACCCCAUAGGGCUUGGUACAAAAUUUUCAUUAUUUCUGCAAAUCCUUCUCCAACAUCUAGUUGAGGUGAAUGAUUUACCCUUGGAUUUUGUGCACUUUCCUCACAAAAUAUAUUCUACUUUUACCAUCUCCUCUCUUCUUCUUAGCUAAUAAUUUAUUUUACAGAUUCAUAGGAAACAUCACAGUUUAGUUUUGUACAGUGACAUGAUGUAGGGAGUAGGGAUGAGAAUUUCAGCAAAAGUCUAUAGGCAAGAGAGAAGACAAUGCCAUGUGGUUGAAAAGGCAGGAUACUGGAGCCAGAAAACCUACCAUUUACAUACCUGGCCAUGGGCUAGUCCGUCCUUCCUUCUUUCCUUCCUUCCUUCCUUCCUUCCUUCCUUCCUUCCUUCCUUCCUUCCUUCCUUCCCUCCCUCCCUCCCUCCCUCCCUUGUCUUUGUACAAGAUUUUAUUAAAUGUCUUUAAAGAGCAAUAUCCAGACUCCAGAUACAGCUUCCAAGGAGACCCUGUUAGGCUAUAGGGACUGGCUGGGGCAUGGCAGACGGCUCUUGCUUUGCAUCCUUCAGUUCUGAGAUGUGGUGGUGGGCAGGAUCUCAUCUUUGGGUUCCACGAUGCUCACAUGGUCAGGCAGAGGCUUCUUCUGGGCCACUUGGGUCCCAGAGCAGCAUGAUCUUCACUUUGAUGCCCAGCACACUAGAGGACAACAGAUAGGAACUAGACAGUGCUUCACCAGCAACCCCUCCAUCCCCCACCCCACCCCCCCCACACACACACACAACAUACAGAAUAGAAGAGAGCAGUUCACUCCAGCACCACUGGAUCUGGCCUCUUCUCAUGGUUCAUCAACUUUCAAAAAAUCAAUUUCCUCAUCUGAAAAUGAGAUAAUACUUACUUACAAAAGCAUGUUGUCAUGAAAACAAAAAGAAAGCGCUCAACUCAUAUUUACAGAGUUCCUGCUGUGUCUAGGUGUAUUUAUACACUUGGUCUCAUUAGUCCUCCAAGGAGUUCACUAGCUGUCAUCCUUAGUGGCUGUAUUAAGUUCGUAAAGCUGCUGUAACAAAUUUCAGGUGGUUUAACAAUCAAAGUUUAUUCUCUCAAGGUGUUAUAGUUCAGAAGUUUUAAUCAAGUUGUUGGCAGAGUUGAUUCCUUCUGGAAAAUUUGAGGGAGAAUCCAUUCUGUUCCUCUCUCCUGACUUCUGGUAGCUGAUCACAAUUCUUGACAUUCUGCGACAUGUGGCUAUGUCACUCCGAUCUUUACCUAUGUCUUCAUAUACCCUUCCCAUCUGUGUUUGUCUCUGUCUUCUUUACUCUUACAAAUUCAUUGAAUUAGGGGCCCACCUUAAAUCCAAGAUGAUCUCAGCUUGACAUCCUUAAUUUAAUUCUAUAUUUAUACUUAUGAAUGUGACCCUGUUUUCUAAAUAAGGGGUCAGGAAUUGGAUGUAUCUUUUGGGGACCACAAUUUAACUCACUAUAGUGACCAAGCUAAGAAUUAAAUCCAGACUCUUUCUGAUUUCAGGUGCAGCGUACUUGGACUGUACAAUGACCUCUCCCUCUGGGAGACUGCUUUGCCUGGUUAAGGAGCACAUCAUGGAUUCUUCUCAUCCUGGGGUUACAUGGUUCCCUGUGCUUUUAAUUUAUACCAGGAAGUAGCUUGGACAACUGGUAGAAGUCACUGAGUCUCUAAAUUUUUGAUUUGGUGAUAAGGGCAUACCUGCCUAAAUAAUUUUUGAAUAGUAGUUGGGUUAUGCACUCAGGAUUUGUUAAAUCAUCCAAUCUUAUAACUAACACUUAUUAUUAUUUUUAUGUGUCACACCUGGGCUAAUUGCUUCACAUGCAUCAUCCCAUAUCACCAUUUCUCAUUUAUAGAAGACACUGAGAUUCCCAGGUGGCAUAUCUCAGGUUACAGAGCUGCUAAGUAGUACAGUUGAGAUUUGAACACAGGCGAUGUGACACUAAGUCCCAGGCUCUUGAAACUACAGUAGAGUUACAUUGCCACUGCUCUGUUGGCAAGGAGUCAGCUUCCCUGCCACCAAGCUGGCCCCUAGGCAAUUAGGCUUAGCAAACAAAGACUUGUUAAUCAUGACAAUUAACCACAUAUUUCUAAUAGGAACAGACUGGGCAUUCAGAUAUCUCUUUGUUUAUUUUCCUUCAUUUCAUUUUUGGAGUGACACCAUUGAAAGAUACUUGGAACUAUUGAAUGAAAGUACUUGGAACCUAAGCUUAGCUUUUAGGAAAAAAUAAAAUCAGGGUAUUUCCUUUCAUCGUUAUGAUUCCAGGCCCUUUGGUCUGGAGUUUCCCUAUGCAUUCAUUACUCAGAACAGUUGCUUUGAGUUCGUCAGCACAUUAAAAUGCAAUUUUAAGAAAAUACAGCAUUUCUCUUCCACCACAAACUAGAUUUAUUUUGGUUUGCUGUCAAUGUAAAACAAAUUUCCCUUCAACAGGGUAAUAUAAUAAAGCCUCAGAACUAGGAGGAAGGAUGUAGUAAGUAAGACCUAGUCAGCACUCUAAUUCUUUCUUUCUGAUUAAUAUUUUUAAAUUAUCUUUGGCUGAAACAAGAAAGAUAAAUCAUUAAUAUGACCCAAGUCUAAACAAAAGCUUAUUGCUUUACAGUAUAUUCAUUUAUUUUUAAUGCUCGUGUCAGUUUUUAAAGGAUGACUUUAUAACAGUAUUUAACUACUUAAAACAUUAACUACCAGUCUGCUGGUCCAUCAUCUUAACUUAAAUGCUGAACUAAACUAGAAUUGCUCAUUGCCUCCUCUCCCCUGUAAUGAAAUUUGUUAAUGAUGGUGUAUUUAUGCUUAUAUGGAAGAGGUCAUCUUCUUUUGUAUGUUCUUUCUUUAAUUAACUCAGUAUCCUUGAGAAAGAAUUUCAGCCUAAAUGUCUUACUGAUGGAUUUAUUAUUUUCCUCUUAACGUAAUAAUGUCACUUGUAUUUAGAGAAUCAAGCCAUUACACCAGCUUUGCUUCAACUCUGAAGCUGUCUUUGUAAAUCAUGCAUUCAAGAGGAUCUUGGGAACAUAUUCUGUGAUUCAGGCUUGUAACUUAAUUAUGCUUGGGAAUGAGCAAGAUUAGGGAACAAAAACAGGAAUUCUGGCAACAAAGGAAAGAACUGGCCUCCUUGCCCAUUUGCUGAGCUACUUCCUCUCCUCUGCAUUGGACCCCAACAUGUCACCAGGACAAGAGGCAAGAAACAUGGGUGGAUUGCCUGCAAUUGGGAGUCUGAGUAUUUAGACUUUUAAUGUAGAAUAUUAGUGGUUGUAUGUAAAGUUUCUAUUUUAUUAUUUGAAGUAUUUCAUGCAAAUAAUAAAAAUAAAC
Molecule: long non-coding RNA, 5100 nt
Filed under: Marmota monax (woodchuck)
Lineage: Eukaryota; Metazoa; Chordata; Mammalia; Rodentia; Sciuridae
Source: RNAcentral